AGCCUUGGAGUGUUUUACGAUAGAUUGCAAAUCUAGAGAAGCCGAUUGAUUGUCGGCCGGGGCUU
Molecule: transfer RNA, 65 nt
Filed under: Melanorivulus punctatus
Lineage: Eukaryota; Metazoa; Chordata; Actinopteri; Cyprinodontiformes; Rivulidae
Description: tRNA-Cys
Source: RNAcentral